GUAUUACAUUGGUGCAAAAGUAAUUGCAGUUUUUGCCAUAACUUUCAAUGGCAAAAAUUGCAAUUACUUUUGUAUCAACCUAA
This 83-nucleotide microRNA precursor is filed under the name Aotus nancymaae (Ma's night monkey). RNAcentral's name for it is "miRNA (ENSANAG00000009353.1)". Lineage: Eukaryota; Metazoa; Chordata; Mammalia; Primates; Aotidae. The record is from RNAcentral.